This 255-nucleotide ribosomal RNA is filed under the name uncultured bacterium. RNAcentral describes it as "partial 16S ribosomal RNA". It matches the Rfam family "Bacterial small subunit ribosomal RNA", at positions 524 to 776 of the family's 1533-position model. The record is from RNAcentral.
UACGUAGGGGGCGAGCGUUAUCCGGAGUUACUGGGCGUAAAGCGUCCGCAGGCGGUCCGGUAAGUUUUGAAGUGACAGUGCUCGGCUUAACUGAGUAAGUGCUUUUGAAAACUGCCAGACUUGAGGGUCCGAGAGGAAGAUGGAAUUCCAGGUGGAGCGGUGAAAUGCGUAGAGAUCUGGAGGAACACCAAAGGCGAAGGCAAUCUUCUGGAGGACACCUGACGCUAAGGGACGAAAGCUAGGGGAGCGAAUGGG